This 200-nucleotide ribosomal RNA is filed under the name uncultured bacterium. Its description in RNAcentral is "partial 16S ribosomal RNA". It matches the Rfam family "Bacterial small subunit ribosomal RNA", at positions 8 to 206 of the family's 1533-position model. The record is from RNAcentral.
AGAGUUUGAUCAUGGCUCAGAACGAACGCUGGCGGCGCGCCUAACACAUGCAAGUCGCACGCGAAAGGGAGCAAUCCUGAGUAAAGUGGCGCACGGGUGAAUAACGCGUAGGUAAUCUACCUCUGCAACUGGAAUAACCAGUCGAAAGAUUGGCUAAUACUAGAUAGAGCGCAUGGUACUUAAAGUACUGUGCGGGAAAG